GAGCCAAUCCAAUCUAGAUCAGCGAUAUGGCGCCGGUCAUAGCAUUCGAGGAUUACAGUGCCUCGAGUGCCUAGAAUAUUCUAGGCACUGUAGUGGAUUAUCCUGCAGUUUGAGCUUGUGGGCCGGUUCCUUGAUACGAUUGCAUUUUCUAAAGAUUGUCUGUGGUGACAGGUCAACACGGCCUUUCUGCCAACCUAACAGUUGGGCUCCGUCUCUAGGCCCCGUGGCCGUGACAAGAGAAAAUUUCUAGCCAGUUGGCUCGAACAUGCCCCAUUUUCGCGCUGCUGUUUCAUCGACAGCAGGACAAUCGAUGCCAUGCAACACGAAAACAAUACAAGUUAUAGUUUCUUUAAGAAAUAGCCGAUCGUGUCUGGUUGGCUCAUCGGCGACCAAAUUUCGAAGUUCGCUAGAUCGCUGCAGCUCGCCCUUGCUUCAACGGCUGUAUGUCCGUCGACUCAUCAGCCAGGCCCGUCGUCGUCAUCCGAAGAGCGGUGUGUCUUGAAAGGACGGGGCUCAACCUGGACGCCAAAGACUGCUAAGCGAAGUGGGCCUGCUUAUGGCUUUAGGAUCAGCGAGUAUGCCACUUGGAUGACUGCAACAUUUUAAUAAUGCUGGUUCCCAAGGGUGUCCAGGUAAUGAGUUGGUCAGCAAGUGCUAUGCAAGCUUCCUGAAUUCUUCUCGUAUGUGCAAAUAUUUUCUCAUUGCUUUUGAACACUAAAAAGUCAUGUAAGUCGGGACUUUUUAUGUUAUUUAUUACUGGGGGAACCGUCCGCAAGCGUCUUAUACAGGGACGUGCGUUCUCGCCCUAAAAUUGUAGAAGGACCAUUUUGCCCUAACCGCAUCUCCAUUCUUGAUAACAUUUUGCAGAAGGUUACUUUCAGAU
Molecule: long non-coding RNA, 883 nt
Organism: Dermacentor silvarum
Lineage: Eukaryota; Metazoa; Arthropoda; Arachnida; Ixodida; Ixodidae
Exons: 3
Source: RefSeq, a predicted model, not a curated record